RNAcentral lists this ribosomal RNA (2750 nucleotides) under Staphylococcus sp. ALBL_129. RNAcentral's name for it is "bacterial LSU rRNA". It matches the Rfam family "Bacterial large subunit ribosomal RNA". Lineage: Bacteria; Bacillati; Bacillota; Bacilli; Caryophanales; Staphylococcaceae. The record is from RNAcentral.
UGAAGGACGUUACUAACGACGAUAUGCUUUGGGGAGCUGUAAGUAAGCUUUGAUCCAGAGAUUUCCGAAUGGGGAAACCCAGCAUGAGUUAUGUCAUGUUAUCGAUAUGUGAAUACAUAGCAUAUCAGAAGGCACACCCGGAGAACUGAAACAUCUUAGUACCCGGAGGAAGAGAAAGAAAAUUCGAUUCCCUUAGUAGCGGCGAGCGAAACGGGAAGAGCCCAAACCAACAAGCUUGCUUGUUGGGGUUGUAGGACACUCUGUACGGAGUUACAAAGGACGACAUUAGACGAAUCAUCUGGAAAGAUGAAUCAAAGAAGGUAAUAAUCCUGUAGUCGAAAAUGUUGUCUCUCUUGAGUGGAUCCUGAGUACGACGGAGCACGUGAAAUUCCGUCGGAAUCUGGGAGGACCAUCUCCUAAGGCUAAAUACUCUCUAGUGACCGAUAGUGAACCAGUACCGUGAGGGAAAGGUGAAAAGCACCCCGGAAGGGGAGUGAAAUAGAACCUGAAACCGUGUGCUUACAAGUAGUCAGAGCCCGUUAAUGGGUGAUGGCGUGCCUUUUGUAGAAUGAACCGGCGAGUUACGAUUUGAUGCAAGGUUAAGCAGUAAAUGUGGAGCCGUAGCGAAAGCGAGUCUGAAUAGGGCGUUUAGUAUUUGGUCGUAGACCCGAAACCAGGUGAUCUACCCUUGGUCAGGUUGAAGUUCAGGUAACACUGAAUGGAGGACCGAACCGACUUACGUUGAAAAGUGAGCGGAUGAACUGAGGGUAGCGGAGAAAUUCCAAUCGAACCUGGAGAUAGCUGGUUCUCUCCGAAAUAGCUUUAGGGCUAGCCUCAAGUGAUGAUUAUUGGAGGUAGAGCACUGUUUGGACGAGGGGCCCCUCUCGGGUUACCGAAUUCAGACAAACUCCGAAUGCCAAUUAAUUUAACUUGGGAGUCAGAACAUGGGUGAUAAGGUCCGUGUUCGAAAGGGAAACAGCCCAGACCACCAGCUAAGGUCCCAAAAUAUAUGUUAAGUGGAAAAGGAUGUGGCGUUGCCCAGACAACUAGGAUGUUGGCUUAGAAGCAGCCAUCAUUUAAAGAGUGCGUAAUAGCUCACUAGUCGAGUGACACUGCGCCGAAAAUGUACCGGGGCUAAACAUAUUACCGAAGCUGUGGAUUGUCCUUUGGACAAUGGUAGGAGAGCGUUCUAAGGGCGUUGAAGCAUGAUCGUAAGGACAUGUGGAGCGCUUAGAAGUGAGAAUGCCGGUGUGAGUAGCGAAAGACGGGUGAGAAUCCCGUCCACCGAUUGACUAAGGUUUCCAGAGGAAGGCUCGUCCGCUCUGGGUUAGUCGGGUCCUAAGCUGAGGCCGACAGGCGUAGGCGAUGGAUAACAGGUUGAUAUUCCUGUACCACCUAUAAUCGUUUUAAUCGAUGGGGGGACGCAGUAGGAUAGGCGAAGCGUGCGAUUGGAUUGCACGUCUAAGCAGUAAGGCUGAGUAUUAGGCAAAUCCGGUACUCGUUAAGGCUGAGCUGUGAUGGGGAGAAGACAUUGUGUCUUCGAGUCGUUGAUUUCACACUGCCGAGAAAAGCCUCUAGAUAGAAAAUAGGUGCCCGUACCGCAAACCGACACAGGUAGUCAAGAUGAGAAUUCUAAGGUGAGCGAGCGAACUCUCGUUAAGGAACUCGGCAAAAUGACCCCGUAACUUCGGGAGAAGGGGUGCUCUUUAGGGUUAACGCCCAGAAGAGCCGCAGUGAAUAGGCCCAAGCGACUGUUUAUCAAAAACACAGGUCUCUGCUAAACCGUAAGGUGAUGUAUAGGGGCUGACGCCUGCCCGGUGCUGGAAGGUUAAGAGGAGUGGUUAGCUUCUGCGAAGCUACGAAUCGAAGCCCCAGUAAACGGCGGCCGUAACUAUAACGGUCCUAAGGUAGCGAAAUUCCUUGUCGGGUAAGUUCCGACCCGCACGAAAGGCGUAACGAUUUGGGCACUGUCUCAACGAGAGACUCGGUGAAAUCAUAGUACCUGUGAAGAUGCAGGUUACCCGCGACAGGACGGAAAGACCCCGUGGAGCUUUACUGUAGCCUGAUAUUGAAAUUCGGCACAGCUUGUACAGGAUAGGUAGGAGCCUUUGAAACGUGAGCGCUAGCUUACGUGGAGGCGCUGGUGGGAUACUACCCUAGCUGUGUUGGCUUUCUAACCCGCACCACUUAUCGUGGUGGGAGACAGUGUCAGGCGGGCAGUUUGACUGGGGCGGUCGCCUCCUAAAAGGUAACGGAGGCGCUCAAAGGUUCCCUCAGAAUGGUUGGAAAUCAUUCAUAGAGUGUAAAGGCAUAAGGGAGCUUGACUGCGAGACCUACAAGUCGAGCAGGGUCGAAAGACGGACUUAGUGAUCCGGUGGUUCCGCAUGGAAGGGCCAUCGCUCAACGGAUAAAAGCUACCCCGGGGAUAACAGGCUUAUCUCCCCCAAGAGUUCACAUCGACGGGGAGGUUUGGCACCUCGAUGUCGGCUCAUCGCAUCCUGGGGCUGUAGUCGGUCCCAAGGGUUGGGCUGUUCGCCCAUUAAAGCGGUACGCGAGCUGGGUUCAGAACGUCGUGAGACAGUUCGGUCCCUAUCCGUCGUGGGCGUAGGAAAUUUGAGAGGAGCUGUCCUUAGUACGAGAGGACCGGGAUGGACAUACCUCUGGUGUACCAGUUGUCGUGCCAACGGCAUAGCUGGGUAGCUAUGUGUGGACGGGAUAAGUGCUGAAAGCAUCGCUUAGAUGCUUUCAGC